AGAGUUUGAUCAUGGCUCAGGACGAACGCUGGCGGCGCGCUUAACACAUGCAAGUCGAACGGGGUUCAGCCUUCGGGCUGGAUUCAGUGGCGAACGGGUGCGUAACACGUGAGCAACCUGCCCCUGUAUGGGGGAUAACCCUGGGAAACCGGGGCUAAUACCGCAUGCGCUCAUUGGGUCUCCUGGCCUAUUGAGGAAAGUCCCUGAGAGGGGAUGUGCAGGGAGGGGCUCGCGGCGUAUCAGCUAGUUGGCGGGGUAACGGCCCACCAAGGCAACGACGCGUAGCCGGUCUGAGAGGACGACCGGCCACAUUGGGACUGAGAUACGGCCCAGACUCCUACGGGAGGCAGCAGUGGGGAAUCUUGCGCAAUGGGCGAAAGCCUGACGCAGCGACGCCGCGUGGGGGAGGAAGGCUCUUGGGUUGUAAACCUCUUUUGUCAGGGAAGAACACAAUGACGGUACCUGACGAAUCAGCAUCGGCUAACUCCGUGCCAGCAGCCGCGGUAAUACGGAGGAUGCAAGCGUUAUCCGGAAUUAUUGGGCGUAAAGCGUCCGCAGGUGGCUAAUCAAGUCUGCGGUCAAAGACCGGGGCUUAACCCUGGAAAGGCCGUGGAAACUGAUAAAGCUAGAGUACCGUAGGGGUAGAGGGAAUUCCCGGUGUAGCGGUGAAAUGCGUAGAGAUCGGGAAGAACAUCGGUGGCGAAAGCGCUCUACUGGACGGUGACUGACACUCAGGGACGAAAGCUAGGGGAGCGAAUGGGAUUAGAUACCCCCGUAGUC
This 780-nucleotide ribosomal RNA is filed under the name uncultured soil bacterium. RNAcentral describes it as "bacterial SSU rRNA". It matches the Rfam family "Bacterial small subunit ribosomal RNA", at positions 8 to 795 of the family's 1533-position model. The record is from RNAcentral.